AUGAUGCAGUUGGGUCGCAUGGCUCUGACUGCCAAAGAUUUAUCGCUCUGAGAUGGCCUCGCGUCUGAUUAGCCAGUUGGCAGGGUAACGGCCUACCAAAGCGACGAUCAGUAGCCGACCUGAGAGGGUGACCGGCCACAUUGGGACUGAGACACGGCCCAAACUCCUACGGGAGCAGCAUG
This 182-nucleotide ribosomal RNA is filed under the name uncultured bacterium. RNAcentral describes it as "partial 16S ribosomal RNA". It matches the Rfam family "Bacterial small subunit ribosomal RNA", at positions 173 to 353 of the family's 1533-position model. The record is from RNAcentral.